UACGUAGGGGGCAAGCGUUGUCCGGAUUUAUUGGGCGUAAAGAGCGUGUAGGCGGCUAGGUAGGUCCGUUGUGAAAACUCGAGGCUCAACCUCGAGACGUCGAUGGAAACCAUCUAGCUAGAGUCCGGAAGAGGAGAGUGGAAUUCCUGGUGUAGCGGUGAAAUGCGCAGAUAUCAGGAGGAACACCCGUGGCGAAGGCGGCUCUCUGGGACGGUACUGACGCUGAGACGCGAAAGCGUGGGGAGCGAACAGG
RNAcentral lists this ribosomal RNA (253 nucleotides) under uncultured bacterium. Its description in RNAcentral is "partial 16S ribosomal RNA". It matches the Rfam family "Bacterial small subunit ribosomal RNA", at positions 524 to 776 of the family's 1533-position model. The record is from RNAcentral.